Molecule: ribosomal RNA, 252 nt
Filed under: uncultured bacterium
Lineage: Bacteria
Description: partial 16S ribosomal RNA
Rfam family: Bacterial small subunit ribosomal RNA
Source: RNAcentral
UACGUAGGUCCCGAGCGUUGUCCGGAUUUAUUGGGCGUAAAGCGAGCGCAGGUGGUUUAUUAAGUCUGGUGUAAAAGGCAGUGGCUCAACCAUUGUAUGCAUUGGAAACUGGGAGACCUGAGUGCAGGAGAGGAGAGUGGAAUUCCAUGUGUAGCGGUGAAAUGCGUAGAUAUAUGGAGGAACACCGGUGGCGAAAGUGGCUCUCUGGCCUGUAACUGACACUGAGGCUCGAAAGCGUGGGGAGCAAACAGG